GUGGCUGGCCUGAUAUCUCUGUGUACGGUGAUUCCAUGUUCCGUACGUCGAGACCUCAGGUUGAUCCCU
Molecule: non-coding RNA, 69 nt
Filed under: Ixodes ricinus (castor bean tick)
Lineage: Eukaryota; Metazoa; Arthropoda; Arachnida; Ixodida; Ixodidae
Source: RNAcentral